Haliotis rubra (blacklip abalone) is the source of this 2048-nucleotide long non-coding RNA. RefSeq lists it as uncharacterized. NCBI's taxonomy places the organism in Eukaryota, Metazoa, Mollusca, Gastropoda, Lepetellida, Haliotidae. The record is from RefSeq and is a predicted model, not a curated record. The transcript is spliced from 3 exons.
AGCUGAGUAGUCAAGCGACAUUCCACGAUUGCAUUGUGGGAAUGUAAACAUUGCGAACUGUCGAAUUGAGACAUUUAAAAUGUCAGAAAACGUAACCGUAUUGUUUCCACCAGUGAUGUUAGAUCUGAAAGACAUCGUAACAAGUUUGUGACGUCCUUCAACAACCUCAGUAUGUCAGCCAACAGUAAUGUCAUAUCUCCAGAAAGCCAUCAUCUGAAUGCCGCAACAGAGGAUCCUCUCAGUAAACAAAUUACAUGCUGACCUUGACCUCGGCAUAGCAAAACACUUAAAAGCAGCUCCUCAUGGUGAUAUGAUGCCUGUGGUCAAGCAAACAGAAGAAUCAUCUCUCAGCACUUCCUUUGCAAGGGACCCGUGAAGAUCCGGGGUAGAAUAGGUCUUCAGCAACUCAUGCUUGCCACAAAAGGCAACUAUGCUUGUUGUAAGAGGUGACUAACGGGAUCGGGUGGUCAGGCUCGCUGACUUGGUUGACACAUGUCACCGGUUCCUAAUUGCGCAGAUUGAUGUUCAUGCUGUUGAUCACUGGAUUGUCUGGUACCAGCCCUCAGAAAGGUUGAAUAGAUCCACUCUAUUCAUUUUUUGUACAGUUUGUCAUCGUCUUCUACUCUUAGUCAGACCGCCGCCAUAUAGCUGGAAUAUUUCUGAGUGCGGCGUAAAACUAAACUCACUCACUCCUUUGCCAGGUCUUCUGCAGAUUAUAAUGACUAUCUGAAGAGGAAAUAUUGUUUUUACUGAUCAUGCAUUAUGGCACUGAUAAUAUCAUGCUGCCAUUAUUUACAACCAACUGAACUUUAAAUUGUUAAUUUGAUGAACAGCUUUUAUGGCACAACUGAACAUUUGAGAUACAUGUGUUCAAAAUGAAAUGUAUUGUUCUCAUAUGUUUAGCUACUAUUGGAACUUGAUAUGUUCCUGUUUCUUGCUCAGUUAACUUGAAUUCUAAUCAUCUUCUGAGUGUCACAGGCUACAAUUUGUUUGUCACUAACACUGCGCCAUACUUUCCAGCACUUGUGGUCUGACAGUUACAUCCUGGGCUUUGACACAUGUAGUCCCUGCAAAUGAUGCAGAGGCAGGUCACGUGACUGCCCUCUAUAAAAACUGCAUGUGCCAAAGGCCCAGCACACAUCAUGUCAGGCAACAACUGUGUUGUUAUGAUCCACAGGUAUGUUGUAAAUUUGGAAGGAUUGUAUUACUUAAUCAUGCAAAGGUAUAAAGUAUAUUCAAGAUAAUUCUAAACAAUGUUAUGGGCCAACUGCCAGCAAUAACAUUAAUCGUUUAAAAUACAAUGUAAUUCCCUAGAAUAUAUUUUGAGUAUUUAAUAAUUGGUUAACAUGUAUAUGGUCCGUGUAAAAGACAUGCCAUGUCAGGCAACAACUGUACCAUGUUGUUAUGAUCCACAAGUUUCGUUCAUAAAAUAGCAUGCAUCAGCCAGUAUGGACGUAGUUCCUGCGACAUGAGAAUCGACUGGCACAUAGUCAGCGCCUCGUCCAUCUGUCCAUAUGUAAUCACUUCGUUUCCGGAGCACAACUCAAAAACUCUUCACUAUCUUUCAACAAGAAUUGGUAGAUAUAUCAAACAGAGCCUAAAUUUGUGUAUUUUGCUAUUUACAGAUUUCUCAAUUUCCAUGGCUUAAGUCUGAAAAAGGGAUGGAUUUCGUUUCAAAAGAGUAAAACAAAAAUGCUCAAUAACUAUCAAUAAAACUUGACAGAUAUAUCAAACAGAUCUUGAAGUAGUGCCUUUUGCUAUUUGCAGAUUUUGGGCAUUUUUAUUUUAUGAUUUAAUAGCCUAAACAUGGAAUUAGUCUUAAAAAAAAUAAAGUAACUGUCAGAUGAUUUGUUCUUUCAAAUUUGUGGGGGCCAUGAAGAGUAUUUUACCAUUGCAGGGGACAAUAAUGACUGUCUUCUUGCUACCUUGAUUGUUAAUAUUGGAUGAAAAUGAUGCCGCCUUUUGGUUUUGUUUACAGCUGGAUGGACACGAAUAAUCCUUAUAUGGAUAAUCCAAAUACUUCAUAAGUGUUAAUAAACACUAUAUCA